This 325-nucleotide small nuclear RNA is filed under the name Chinchilla lanigera (long-tailed chinchilla). RNAcentral describes it as "7SK RNA (ENSCLAG00000022158.1)". It matches the Rfam family "7SK RNA". From Rfam's summary of the family: 7SK was discovered as an abundant small nuclear RNA in the mid-70s but a possible function has only recently been suggested. Two independent studies have found that 7SK RNA binds the CDK9/cyclin T complex (known as elongation factor P-TEFb). The record is from Rfam by way of RNAcentral. Lineage: Eukaryota; Metazoa; Chordata; Mammalia; Rodentia; Chinchillidae.
GGAUGUGAGGGCGAUCUGGCUGUGACAUCUGUCAGCCCAUUGAUCGCCAGGGUUGAUUCGGCUGGUCUGGUCGGCUGGGCGGGUGUCCCCUUCCUCCCUUGACGCUCCAUGUGCGUCCCUCCUGAAGCUGUGCUCGGUAGAAGAGGAUGACCACCCCCAACAGAGGAGGACCAUUCCUCCGUCCAGGGUGUUCGUGUAGUUGUGCUCCCCUGCUAGAAUCUCCAAACAAGCUCUCAAGGAAACCAAGAUCUUUGCUUAAAGGGAAAAAUGGAAGAUGAUGAUAUUAAAUUAUGUCUUUUUCACCAUAUGGAGAAGUAAAAUUCAU